UACGGGGGGGUAAGCGUUGUUCGGAAUUACUGGGCGUAAAGGGCUCGUAGGCGGCCAACUAAGUCAGACGUGAAAUCCCUCAGCUUAACUGGGGAACUGCGUCUGAUACUGGAUGGCUUGGAUUCGGGAGAGGAAUGCGGAAUUCCGAAGGUGUAGCGGUGAAAUGACGUGAGAUAUCUGGAGGAACACCGGUGGCGAAGGCGGCAUUCUGGACCGAUAUUGACGCUGAGGAGCGAAAGCCAGGGGAGCAAACGGG
Molecule: ribosomal RNA, 256 nt
Filed under: uncultured bacterium
Lineage: Bacteria
Description: partial 16S ribosomal RNA
Rfam family: Bacterial small subunit ribosomal RNA
Source: RNAcentral